This is a long non-coding RNA of Vigna unguiculata (cowpea), 1069 nucleotides long. The record is from RefSeq and is a predicted model, not a curated record. NCBI's taxonomy places the organism in Eukaryota, Viridiplantae, Streptophyta, Magnoliopsida, Fabales, Fabaceae.
UAAAAGAUAGUUUCUGAUUUCCCUCCUCUGUUCUGCGUUUUUUCUCUCGCCAAGAAAAGAAACUCGUUCCUGGUAAACAUUCUCCUCCCAAAUCCUAUGUUAUCAUUUAAUAAACCCUUUGUAAUUGAGCUAUGGUUUGGGCCAUGGAAGGUCUUCGAAAAAUGGGGGCGAAAAUGUCAGAAAAAUCUGAAUUUAAACUCAUAAUCGAUCACAGCAACAGAAAAAGUUACGUUAGGGGUGAAGACGUGGUGCUGAAGUGAAAGGGUGUGCUUCUUUGAUUGGUCUGUUUGAUCUUAAGAGUCUUAAUGAAUACCUGUGAUAUGACUCGAUGGCGAAGAAGCUGGGAGGAUUGAUCUUGGGAGUGAACAGGGCCAUGAGCAUGACCAUGCGUUGCAUGUGUGUGAAGUUCCACAUGCCCUUCGUGCCCGGUCUCUUUCUCCACAUCCCCGCUCUCAAUCUGUACUUCAUUGGAAUGGUGUUUCUGAAAAUAAGCAGUGGCAUAAGUAUCCACCAUGAGAGUCCCCAUGGCAGUGCACAUUGCAACAAAGCCAGUGAAGGGAAAAUCUCCCCAUGGAUGCUCCUUCAAGCAAGGUGAGGUCAGAUUCUCAAAAGCAUCGGGCAACACGUGGAUGAACCCAGUUGCCAGGAUCACUCCUGCAGCAAAAGCCUUUAUCAGGAAGAAAAUAUUUUUUUCCGGACUCAACGCAGGUAUCACUUUUCCUAGGAGAGGAAUACACACUCCAAUUGCACUCGCAAUUAAUAUUGAUACCAAAGCUGCUAUUUUGUAUCUCAAAGCUUUUGUUCUGUCACGAUCUUCGUUUUCUUCGUCACAAGUACAUUCUGCUGCAACUAAGGUCGGAAGUACAACCAAAAAGACGAAAAUAGAAGAAGAAAACAAAAACUGUCUGUUUAUCUUGAAUCUACCCAUUAUAACCAAAGGAGAAGAAUGAGAGAAAUUUGAAGAAAGAGAAAAGUAGACUGGAGUGAGAAAAAACUUCCCAGAAUGAUUUAAAUAGGAAACUGUGUUAUCUAAUUAAUUUUAAUUAAUGUAUAUAAUUUUCAUUAUAAA